Molecule: transfer RNA, 133 nt
Organism: Colletotrichum sublineola
Lineage: Eukaryota; Fungi; Ascomycota; Sordariomycetes; Glomerellales; Glomerellaceae
Rfam family: tRNA
About the family: Transfer RNA (tRNA) molecules are approximately 80 nucleotides in length. Their secondary structure includes four short double-helical elements and three loops (D, anti-codon, and T loops). Further hydrogen bonds mediate the characteristic L-shaped molecular structure. tRNAs have two regions of fundamental functional importance: the anti-codon, which is responsible for specific mRNA codon recognition, and the 3' end, to which the tRNAs corresponding amino acid is attached (by aminoacyl-tRNA synthetases). tRNAs cope with the degeneracy of the genetic code in two manners: having more than one tRNA (with a specific anti-codon) for a particular amino acid; and 'wobble' base-pairing, i.e. permitting non-standard base-pairing at the 3rd anti-codon position.
Source: Rfam
GGCCGGUUGGCCCAAUGGCAAGGCGUCUGACUACGAUCCCGCAACAUCUCUCUAUCUCCCCUCAGACAUUCGAGCGGGAGGCGGUGUAUCAUAAGUUAUCAGGAGAUUCUGGGUUCGACCCCCAGGCUGGUCA